GUGGUCAACCCCACCAUGUUCUUCAACAUCGCCAUCAACGGGGAGCCCUUGGGCCGCAUCUCCUUUGAGCUGUUUGCAAACAAGAUUCCAAAGACGGCAGAAAACUUUCAUGCUCUAAGCACUGGAGAGAAAGGAUUUGGUUAUAAGGGUUCCUGCUUUCACAGAAUUAUUCCAGAGUUUAUGUGUCAGGGCGGUGACUUCACAUGCCAUAAUGGCACUGGUGCCUCUACGGGGAGAAAUUUGAUGUCGAGGACUUCACCCUAAAGCAUACAGGUCCUGACAUCUUGUCCAUGGCAAAUGCAGGACCCGAUACAAACGGUUCCUAAUUUUUCAUCUGCACUGCCAAGACAGCGUGGUUGAAUGGGAAGCAGGUGGUCUCUGGCAAGGUGAGAGAAGGCAUGAAUAUUGUGAAGCCCAUGGAGCGCUUUCGGUCCAGGAAUGGCAAGACCAGCAAGAAGAUCACCAUUGCUGACUGGACAACUCUAAUAA
This 489-nucleotide long non-coding RNA is filed under the name Homo sapiens (human). RNAcentral's name for it is "non-protein coding lnc-ZNF286A-9:1". The record is from RNAcentral. Lineage: Eukaryota; Metazoa; Chordata; Mammalia; Primates; Hominidae.